Molecule: ribosomal RNA, 496 nt
Filed under: uncultured bacterium
Lineage: Bacteria
Description: partial 16S ribosomal RNA
Rfam family: Bacterial small subunit ribosomal RNA
Source: RNAcentral
GAUGAACGCUGGCGGCGUGCCUAAUACAUGCAAGUCGAGCGAACAGACGAGGAGCUUGCUCCUCUGACGUUAGCGGCGGACGGGUGAGUAACACGUGGAUAACCUACCUAUAAGACUGGGAUAACUUCGGGAAACCGGAGCUAAUACCGGAUAAUAUAUUGAACCGCAUGGUUCAAUAGUGAAAGACGGUUUUGCUGUCACUUAUAGAUGGAUCCGCGCCGCAUUAGCUAGUUGGUAAGGUAACGGCUUACCAAGGCAACGAUGCGUAGCCGACCUUGGGGGGGGGACGCCCCCCCUGAAGGGGGAACGCGGCCCAGGUCCCGAGGGGAGGCAGAAGGGGGGAAUUUUCGCCAAAGGGGGAAAGCUUGGAGGAUGAGCGGCAGGCGGGUGAAGAAGGGCUUGGGACCGUAAAACUCUUUUUUUGGGGAAAACCAAAUUUGUAAGUGACUAAGCACGUUUGGACGGUACCGAAUAAGAAAGCCCCGGUUAACUACGG